Molecule: small nucleolar RNA, 64 nt
Organism: Apteryx haastii (Great spotted kiwi)
Lineage: Eukaryota; Metazoa; Chordata; Aves; Apterygiformes; Apterygidae
Source: Ensembl
UUUUGGUGAUGAGGUGAACUAGCUCACUUUGACCUGCGUGAAAACACCCGAACAGCUGAAAAAC